Molecule: ribosomal RNA, 320 nt
Filed under: Monotaxis grandoculis (humpnose big-eye bream)
Lineage: Eukaryota; Metazoa; Chordata; Actinopteri; Spariformes; Lethrinidae
Description: partial large subunit ribosomal RNA
Rfam family: Bacterial large subunit ribosomal RNA
Source: RNAcentral
UAGACACUAAGGUAGACUAUAUCAACCGCCCCCAAAACCCGGGCCAAAACCAAAUACCCCCCUACCCUACGUCUUCGGUUGGGGCGACCACGGAGUAAUAAAAAACCCCCGCGUGGACCGGGAACACAAUUUUCCCACAGACAAGAGCUCCCGCUCUAACAAGCAGAAUUUCUGACUAAAAGUGAUCCAGCCAAUGCUGAUCAACGGACCAAGUUACCCUAGGGAUAACAGCGCAAUCUCCUUCUAGAGUCCAUAUCGACAAGGAGGUUUACGACCUCGAUGUUGGAUCAGGACAUCCUAAUGGUGCAGCCGCUAUUAAG